GAUGAACGCUGGCGGCGUGCCUAAUACAUGCAAGUCGAGCGAACGGACGAGAAGCUUGCUUCUCUGAUGUUAGCGGCGGACGGGUAAGUAACACGUGGAUAACCUACCUAUAAGACUGGGAUAACUUCGGGAAACCGGAGCUAAUACCGGAUAAUAUUUUGAACCGCAUGGUUCAAAAGUGAAAGACGGUCUUGCUGUCACUUAUAGAUGGAUCCGCGCUGCAUUAGCUAGUUGGUAAGGUAACGGCUUACCAAGGCAACGAUGCAUAGCCGACCUGAGAGGGUGAUCGGCCCCACUGGAACUGGGACACGGUCCAGACUCCUACGGGAGGCAGCAGUAGGGAAUCUUCCGCAAUGGGCGAGAGCCUGACGGAGCAACGCCGCGUGAGUGAUGAAGGUCUUCGGAUCGUAAAACUCUGUUAUUAGGGAAGAACAUAUGUGUAAGUAACUGUGCACAUCUUGACGGUACCUAAUCAGAAAGCCACGGCUAACUACGUG
Molecule: ribosomal RNA, 497 nt
Filed under: uncultured bacterium
Lineage: Bacteria
Description: partial 16S ribosomal RNA
Rfam family: Bacterial small subunit ribosomal RNA
Source: RNAcentral